AUUGAACGCUGGCGGCAGGCCUAACACAUGCAAGUCGAGCGGCAGCGGAAAGUAGCUUGCUACUUUGCCGGCGAGCGGCGGACGGGUGAGUAAUGUCUAGGAAACUGCCUGAUGGAGGGGGAUAACUACUGGAAACGGUAGCUAAUACCGCAUAACGUCGCAAGACCAAAGAGGGGGACCUUCGGGCCUCUUGCCAUCAGAUGUGCCCAGAUGGGAUUAGCCAGGAGGUGGGGUAAUGGCUCACCUAGGCGACGAUCCCUAGCUGGUCUGAGAGGAUGACCAGCCACACUGGAACUGAGACACGGCCCAGACUCCUACGGGAGGCAGCAGUGGGGAAUAUUGCACAAUGGGCGCAAGCCUGAUGCAGCCAUGCCGCGUGUAUGAAGAAGGCCUUCGGGUUGUAAAGUACUUUCAGCGGGGAGGAAGGUGUUGAGGUUAAUAACCUCAGCAAUUGACGUUACCCGCAGAAGAAGCACCGGCUAACUCCGUGCCAGCAGCCGCCGUAA
RNAcentral lists this ribosomal RNA (506 nucleotides) under uncultured bacterium. RNAcentral's name for it is "partial 16S ribosomal RNA". It matches the Rfam family "Bacterial small subunit ribosomal RNA", at positions 30 to 523 of the family's 1533-position model. The record is from RNAcentral.